GAUGAACGCUGGCGGCGUGCCUAAUACAUGCAAGUCGAGCGAACAGACGAGGAGCUUGCUCCUCUGACGUUAGCGGCGGACGGGUGAGUAACACGUGGAUAACCUACCUAUAAGACUGGGAUAACUUCGGGAAACCGGAGCUAAUACCGGAUAAUAUAUUGAACCGCAUGGUUCAAUAGUGAAAGACGGUUUUGCUGUCACUUAUAGAUGUAUCCGCGCCGCAUUAGCUAGUUGGUAAGGUAACGGCUUACCAAGGCAACGAGGCGUAGCCGACCUGAGAGGGGGAGCGGCCACACUGGAACUGAGAGACGGUCCAGACUCCUACGGGAGGCAGCAGUAGGGAAUCUUCCGCAAUGGGCGAAAGCCUGACGGAGCAACGCCGCGUGAGGGAUGAAGGUCUUCGGAUCGUAAAACUCUGUUAUUAGGGAAGAACAAAUGUGUAAGUAACUAUGCACGUCUUGACGGUACCUAAUCAGAAAGCCACGGCUAACUACGUG
RNAcentral lists this ribosomal RNA (497 nucleotides) under uncultured bacterium. Its description in RNAcentral is "partial 16S ribosomal RNA". It matches the Rfam family "Bacterial small subunit ribosomal RNA", at positions 28 to 507 of the family's 1533-position model. The record is from RNAcentral.